This 26-nucleotide unclassified non-coding RNA is filed under the name Mus musculus (house mouse). RNAcentral describes it as "oocyte_clustered_small_RNA11735". The record is from RNAcentral. Lineage: Eukaryota; Metazoa; Chordata; Mammalia; Rodentia; Muridae.
UGUGUGUGUUGCACAUUAGUGUUUAG